Molecule: long non-coding RNA, 3105 nt
Filed under: Salmo salar (Atlantic salmon)
Lineage: Eukaryota; Metazoa; Chordata; Actinopteri; Salmoniformes; Salmonidae
Description: lncRNA (ENSSSAG00000096803.1)
Source: RNAcentral
CGAGAACACGUAGGCAGACGAGGAGAGAGCAGUAGGAGUAGCAGUGUUCUCUGUGGUAAUCCAUGUUUCCGUCAGCGCCAGGAAGUCUAGGGACUGGAGGGUAGCAUAGGCUGAGAUGAACUCAGCCUUGUUGGCCGCAGACCGGCAGUUCCAGAGGCUGCAGGAGACCUGGAACUCCACGUGGGUCGUGCGCGCUGGGACCACCAGGUUAGAGUGGCAGCGGCCACGCGGUGUGGAGCGUUUGUAUGGCCUGUGCAGAGGGGAGAGAACAGGGAUAGACAGACACAUAGUAGACAAGCUACAGAAGAGGCUACGCUAAUGCAAAGGAGAUUGGAAUGACAAGUGGACUACACGUCUCGAAUGUUCAGAAAGUUAAGCUUACGUUGCAAAAAUCUUAUUGACUAAAAUGAUACAGUACUGCUGGCUGGUGGAGUAGGCUAGCUAGCAGUGGCUGCUUUGUUUACUUUGAACGUGUAGCUGGCUAGGUAACCUCGGUAGUUUCAGUACUACCCCUUGUCAUGAUACAAAGCAACUUUGUAGCUAGCUAGCUAACAUAACACUAAUCAAGACGUGAUUAGUGUUUUGAUAUCAGCAUUAUAAUUUUAACCAUGUUGAGGCUAUACAGUGUUGAUUUACAUUGUUUCUAAACAUUGGAGUAAAAAAAAUCAAUUUCAGAUUUGCCCUUUAACACCACACAUCAGUCCCACAACUGCCUCUGUUUUUAACACAGUAACGGUACCUACAGUUGAAGUCGAAAGUUUACAUACACCUUAGCCAAAUACAUUUAAUCUCAGUUUAUCACAAUUCCUGACAUUUAAUCCUAGUAAAAAUUCCCUGUCUUAGGUCAGUUAUGAUCACCACUUUAAAUGUAAAAAUAAUUUUAAGAAUGUGAAAUGUCAGAAUAAUAGUAGAGAAUGAUUUAUUUCAGCUUUUAUUUCUUUCAUCAAAUUCCCAGUGGGUCAUACACUCAAUUAGUAUUUGGUAGCAUUGCCAUUAAAUUGUUUAACUUGGGUCAAACGUUUCGGUUAGCCUUCAACAAGCUUCCCACAAUAAAAUUGGUGAAUUUUGGCUCAUUCCUCCUGACAGAGCUGGUGUAACUGAGUCAGGUUUGUAGGCCUCCAUGCUCGCACACGCUUUUUCAGUUCUGCCCACACAUUUUCUAUAGGAUUGAGGUCAGGGCUUUGCGAUGGCCACUCCAAUACCUUGACUUUGUUGUCCUUAAGCCAUUUUGCCACAACUUUGGAAGUAUGCUUGGGGUCAUUGUCCAUUUGGAAGACCCAUUUGCGACCAAGCUUUAACUUCCUGACUGAUGUCUUGAGAUGUUGCUUCAAUAUAUCCACAAAAUUUUCCUGCCUCAUGAUGCCAUCUAUUUUGUGAAGUGCACCAGUCCCUCCUGCAGCAAAGCACCCCCACAACAUGAUGCUGCCACCGCCGUGCUUCACAGUUGGGAUGGUGUUCUUUGGCUUGCAAGCCUCCCCCUUUUUCUCCAAACAUAACGAUGGUCAUUAUGGCCAAACAGUUCUAUUUUUGUUUCAUCAGACCAGAGAACAUUUCUCCAAAUGUUCCUUCACAUCUGACUCCAGUGAUCAAUCCAGAGGCCUCUUCUUUUUGGGGGGGAAUCCCGAUGGACAAUGUUAUCGAUUAGGCCGUCAUCACGACCACCACCCACAAGUUAAUUGUAAUUCGGGUUAUCAAUGGGAAGAGCAUUAGCAAUAUGUCCUGUCUGGUAACGUGUCUUGUUCAACGGAUUUACAUUGGCAGGUGCACAGGGAGAAACCCCAUUAAAAAACUCAGUCGAUCUCAAACUGCGGAAAAACCUUUGGAAGUCUUUAUCAAAGUCUGUGGCCUGUGAUGUUGAGACAAAUGAUUGUCCCUUAUUAUACAAGAGACAAAAUUCACAAAUUCAACAGCAUAACGGCAGAGUCAUGUCUUCAGUGUAAAACUAACAAUGACUCAAUAAUCCAUGCCUUCUGGGAAUGUUAUGAUGUCAUAAAGUUAUGGGCGGAGUUAGAAAGUUGGCUGUAAGAAGGAUUACAAUGUAAAGGUACUUUUAAUCUGUCUGUCUGUAUAUUUCAAAACAUGGCAUUUGAGGGAGCAGUGAAAUACCCCAGAGUUGGACAAUACUUUUCUCGUCAAUCAACUUAAAUACUAAAAACUGGAAGUCAACCAAUCCUCUGUUAUUAACGCAAUAGAAAGGUCAAAUGCUUUAUUAUCUAAAAAUGUAAAGUGCUGGGCGAUGGGGAGUAAUAAAAUGUUAGAGUUUGAGGCCAUGUGGUGGAGAUGGGGGUGUGUUCUAGUGGGUCUGGGCAGGUGUGAUGUAAUUAACGGAGAUGGGGGUGUGUUCUAGUGGGUCUGGGCAGAUGUGAUGUAGUUAAUAUUUGUAUGAUGUUGUUAUUUGUUUAUUUUGUAUUGUUUAUAAAAUAUCAAAUGAAAAAUAUUUUUUAAGUCCCAAUGCAAAGUUACCCCUCACACUGUUCUAUUUUUGGAGUUAUUACAUAAAACCAAUCAGAAUUCAGAAGAAUGCCAAAGUCAGGUGUGAAGUAAUAUGGAGGACCAGCCUAUUCCCUAUGAUGUAAACUACAACAGAAAUAACUUCAAAUGUAGAACUUGAAAUUAAACCAACCGUUUCCACUCAUGACUUGAGUGAUUAAAGUAAACCACAGUUUUGGAAAUACAUAACGCCAUCGAACCAAAUAUCAAAGAAUGUUAGCUAUAUGCAGUUCUCUUAGCCAGCCAGCUAACAUAUUUAGCCAACUAGCUAUGGUCAGUGAGCUGGAGCCCAACUACUGGAGACCAGUUAGAACCCAACUAACAAAACCCAACUAAAACAUGCAGAUCAAAAGAGCAGAGACACACAGAAUGAUGUCAUGGAAAAUCCCCAACAUCCAAAAUAGAUAGAUUCCAGAUGUCAGUCAGCUAGCAGUAAGCCAAGGUGGAAAAACGAACCAAACUCCCGUAGUGUACUUCACAGAGAAUGCUGAAAAGUAGUGAUGGGGAACAUCUCCCUGAAGCAUUGCCGCUUUCAACCAAUAGUGUCAGAAAUAGUUUUAUUACUCAAAGCUUUGAAAAAACACAGAAUUUAGAACAGCCAAUGUAAUAUAAAAU